GUGAAUCAUCGAAUCUUUGAACGCAAAUUGCGCUCGAGGCCUCGGCCAAGAGCAUGUCUGUCUCAGCGUCGGCUUACCCCUCUCACUCCCCACUCUUUGUCACCAAAGAGCUGGGGUAGUGGAUCUGGCCGUCCCGGUGUACAGCCGGGUCGACCGAAGCACAGAGGCUUGUGCUUGGAUCCCUUAAAGGGCAACAGCUUGGUAGGUGGCUUAUGCUGCAUGCCGCUGGAGCCUUGGAGUCCAAGCCUGUGGCCGGCAGGAAACCAUUCAAUCAUUCGACCUGAGAUCAGGCAAGAACAC
Molecule: unclassified non-coding RNA, 300 nt
Filed under: uncultured fungus
Lineage: Eukaryota; Fungi
Description: sequence contains 5.8S rRNA gene, ITS2
Rfam family: 5.8S ribosomal RNA (bases 1-71)
Source: RNAcentral